UACGUAGGGUGCAAGCGUUAAUCGGAAUUACUGGGCGUAAAGCGAGUGUAGGCGGUCUUAUAAGUCGAGUGUGAAAGCCCCGGGCUCAACCCGGGAAGUGCACUCGAAACUGUGAGGCUAGAGUAUCGGAGAGGUUGGUGGAAUUCUCGGUGUAGAGGUGAAAUUCGUAGAUAUCGAGAGGAACACCGGUGGCGAAGGCGGCCAACUGGACGAAUACUGACGCUGAGACUCGAAAGCGUGGGGAGCAAACAGG
RNAcentral lists this ribosomal RNA (253 nucleotides) under uncultured bacterium. Its description in RNAcentral is "partial 16S ribosomal RNA". It matches the Rfam family "Bacterial small subunit ribosomal RNA", at positions 524 to 776 of the family's 1533-position model. The record is from RNAcentral.